This 465-nucleotide ribosomal RNA is filed under the name Vreelandella stevensii. Its description in RNAcentral is "partial 16S ribosomal RNA". It matches the Rfam family "Bacterial small subunit ribosomal RNA", at positions 338 to 795 of the family's 1533-position model. The record is from RNAcentral. Lineage: Bacteria; Pseudomonadati; Pseudomonadota; Gammaproteobacteria; Oceanospirillales; Halomonadaceae.
CCUACGGGCGGCUGCAGUGGGGAAUAUUGGACAAUGGGCGAAAGCCUGAUCCAGCCAUGCCGCGUGUGUGAAGAAGGCCUUCGGGUUGUAAAGCACUUUCAGUGGGGAAGAAAGCCUUGGGGCUAAUACCCUCGAGGAAGGACAUCACCCACAGAAGAAGCACCGGCUAACUCCGUGCCAGCAGCCGCGGUAAUACGGAGGGGUGCGAGCGUUAAUCGGAAUUACUGGGCGUAAAGCGCGCGUAGGCGGUCUGAUAAGCCGGUUGGAAAGCCCCGGGCUCAACCUGGGAACGGCAUCCGGAACUGUCAGGCUAGAGUGCAGGAGAGGAAGGUAGAAUUCCCGGUGUAGCGGUGAAAUGCGUAGAGAUCGGGAGGAAUACCAGUGGCGAAGGCGGCCUUCUGGACUGACACUGACGCUGAGGUGCGAAAGCGUGGGUAGCAAACAGGAUUAGAUACCCGUGUAGUC